AUGGUGAUGUCUUCCAAGUUUUAUUUUUGCUGGUUCUUGGCUCUCUUGUUUGACGAUCUUCCCAUUAGAUGCUGUUGGUUUCAUCAUGCAGCUCCUUCUCUGCUUGAUUCCCUGAGGUGUGUGUUAAUGCUCUUCUUGAUCCAGUUACAAGUUGCUUGUCUUCACCAACAAGACCCUUCAAAGCGCUUCAUGGUCAUAUACGAAAGUGGAAACCUUGAAAUAUUCUGCCUUUUGUCUCUGAAGCAAGGCAAUGUCAGUCCGGCCGGGGACAGGCUUAUAGGUGGGAUGCUAGCUGCUGGUUUAAGUCUCAACCUUCGAGAGUUGUUCAUCAGCACAUCCUGA
This 342-nucleotide ribosomal RNA is filed under the name Triticum aestivum (bread wheat). RNAcentral's name for it is "partial small subunit ribosomal RNA". The record is from RNAcentral. Lineage: Eukaryota; Viridiplantae; Streptophyta; Magnoliopsida; Poales; Poaceae.